RNAcentral lists this ribosomal RNA (505 nucleotides) under uncultured bacterium. RNAcentral describes it as "bacterial SSU rRNA". It matches the Rfam family "Bacterial small subunit ribosomal RNA", at positions 29 to 508 of the family's 1533-position model. The record is from RNAcentral.
AACGAACGCUGGCGGCGUGCCUAAGACAUGCAAGUCGUACGGAAAGGCCCUCUUCGGAGGGCACUCGAGUGGCGCACGGGUGAGUAACGCGUGGGCAAUCUACCUUAGGGUCUGGGACAACCCCGGGAAACUGGGGCUAAUACUGGAUAAGACCACGAGCUCUUCGGAGCUUGCGGGAAAAGAUGGCCUCUCCUUGGAAGCUAUCGCCCUUCGAUGAGCCCGCGUCCCAUUAGCUAGUUGGUGAGGUGACGGCUCACCAAGGCUUUGAUGGGUAGCUGGUCUGAGAGGAUGAUCAGCCACACUGGAACUGAGACACGGUCCAGACUCCUACGGGAGGCAGCAGUCGGGAAUUUUGGGCAAUGGGCGAAAGCCUGACCCAGCAACGCCGCGUGAGGGAUGAAGGCCUUCGGGUCGUAAACCUCUGUCGGGAGGGAAGAACGGUUCACGUUCGAAUAGGACGGGAGCCUGACGGUACCUCCAAAGGAAGCACCGGCUAACUCCGUGC